Molecule: ribosomal RNA, 490 nt
Filed under: uncultured bacterium
Lineage: Bacteria
Description: partial 16S ribosomal RNA
Rfam family: Bacterial small subunit ribosomal RNA
Source: RNAcentral
GAUGAACGCUCGCUACAGGCUUAACACAUGCAAGUCGCGGGGCAGCAUGGGGGUUGCUUGCCAUCCCCGAUGGCGACCGGCGCACGGGUGAGUAACGCGUAUCUAACCUGCCCUUCACCACGGGAUAACCCGGCGAAAGUCGGACUAAUACCGUAUGUUGUCCAUUGACGGCAUCCGAUUUGGACGAAAGGCUUGGCGGUGAGGGAUGGGGAUGCGUCCGAUUAGCCAGACGGCGGGGUAACGGCCCACCGUGGCUACGAUCGGUAGGGGUUCUGAGAGGAAGGUCCCCCACACUGGAACUGAGACACGGUCCAGACUCCUACGGGAGGCAGCAGUGAGGAAUAUUGGUCAAUGGGCGUAAGCCUGAACCAGCCAAGUAGCGUGCAGGAUGACGGCCCUAUGGGUUGUAAACUGCUUUUAUGCGGGGAUAAAGUGGCCCACGUGUGGGCUUUUGCAGGUACCGCAUGAAUAAGGACCGGCUAAUUCCGUG